AAAGGAAAGACCUUAAUAAUAGGGAAAAAACUGGAGUUGUCGUUCUUAUCCGUUGAUAGGAUAGAUAGCAUUCAUUUGUAAGGAGAGGGUAAAAAAAAAAGGGGGGGGGCAAAAGGGGGGCCCAGGGAGAUUUUUUUUUUUUUUUUAUUUAAACGGAACAGAAUGGUUAAAAUUGCCGUUUUACAAUAUAAAUCAAUUGCUUUCAAAAAGCAAUUGUAAACGGUCUUUCCCCUCUUUGAAACAUGAUUGUGUGUGUGUGUGUGUGUU
RNAcentral lists this long non-coding RNA (267 nucleotides) under Mytilus galloprovincialis (Mediterranean mussel). The record is from RNAcentral. Lineage: Eukaryota; Metazoa; Mollusca; Bivalvia; Mytilida; Mytilidae.